This 222-nucleotide long non-coding RNA is filed under the name Salvia miltiorrhiza (redroot sage). RNAcentral's name for it is "long non-coding RNA (SMIL_LNC010885)". The record is from RNAcentral. Lineage: Eukaryota; Viridiplantae; Streptophyta; Magnoliopsida; Lamiales; Lamiaceae.
GAGGGCGUUAAUCCUAUGAACUUUUAGGAGUUACAUGUUAGAAGUGCGAUCCAGGGAUGGUAGCCUUGCAUGUAAUCAACGGUUUGUAUGCCACGGGAGUGGGUAUGGACUAGCUUAGAGAUUGCCUUAGGAAUCGCCUUAUUAAUUGAAUUGAACAUGUUAGUUAGGAGAAUCUGUUGAAACCUUUGCCUUGGGAAAUCUUGUCUUAUCUGUUUCUCUGUU